GCAGCCGCUGCCGCCGCAGCGAAGAGGCCAUGUUGUGUGGUGUGUGGGGCGGGGGGAGGAGGAGGAGGGAGUAAAGCCUAGAGAGGAGACGGGAGAGAGACACCACACACACGGCACAAGAUGGCCGGAGAGGCAGCAGCACCCCGAGCUGUCAGGCGUUCCGCCGCGGCCGCGAGGCCCGCCGGCCGGCGGGGAGCUACGCCCGGACGGCCAGCAGGCCCGCGGGAGUGGGGCUGCCGCGGCUGAGGCGAGGCGGGCCGCGCGCGUCGGCGUCACAGCCCGCGGCAGAGGCGCCCAGGGCGGCCGGGCCCACGACGCCGAAAGCGCCGCUGCGGUUGCCGCCUCGGAGGCUCCCCCGGGCCCCGGCGGCUGGACCCGGCGCGGGCGGGAGGCUCGGGCGGGCGGUCCGGCCCGGGACUCGGGUUUGGGCGACCAGGAGGUGCCGGUGGCCGCGCUCGGACCCGGUUCUCCAACGGAGGAGCUUUUUAACCUCUUUCCGGUGAGGUGGGAACUCAUCUUCAUGAUCGAAUUUAAAAGAACAAUGGAACCCUGACUACGUUUCAACAAAAAUAAAACUUGUUUUUUUCCCUCCUAUUGGGUGUUGGCUUUUAACUCUUUCAAAGCCGAUUUUGAAACGGCUGCAGUGAUACAUGCGAAGGUGACUUAAGAGAUUAAAAUUAAUUUGGUUGCUGUUGGUUCUGAACAAAUAAUGAGUUCUUUUAUUUGAGGUAUGCCAUUUUGAAGACUGAGACGUUGGAGUUUUAUCCUAGAGGAUAAAGGAAAUCUUUGGGAAAGUCAGUAUUUUAUAUAGCAAAUUUGAUUGUGGAGCGGCAUAAGGGGGAGAAAGAUAAGUUGAGGACGUCUCUUUAUCUUUUGUUAAUCAGAGGUGGUGAUAGAGUGGAAAAUAUAACACGUUUCGGCAUUCAGGAGACCUACCUUCCAAUAAAUAUGAACCUCAAACUGAAUCCUCUAAAGGCCCCAUACAAUGAAGUAGACAUUGGUGGAAACAUUUACACCCAGUCAGCUUGAAGAGUUUCAAAUGGACCCUACCACUGAGAAAUCAAGAUGGCAGUCUACUAUGGGGAAUUGAGGAAAAAUGGAUUAAUACAAGAGUCCUGUGAUAAUAUACAACCAAGACAGGGUUCUUUUAACAUGGAUUCCAUGCAGUGAAUGAAGACAUAGGUUUCUUACCCAACACAAAUGGACAGUGGAUUUGACUUUCUAAAGACUUUUUUUGUGGACAUUUUGACAUUUGGAGAAGAAAGAUGGCACACUAACCCAGAUAAUAGUUUUUAUGCCUGGAAUUUUUUGCAGUUUGAUUUGUAUGCGUAUGACCUCUUGAAAUGUUAAUUUUUAAUAAAAUUUGUAACACUUAAAAAUUUCUCAGUUUGGGUUUUUUUUUUUAAGUGGAAGUUUAAUUAAAUGUUUAGUUUUAUUUUAGUAAUACUUUGGCCUUUGUAGUUGCCGAGUGGUAAAGUGUACUGAAUAUGAAUAAAGCUGGUAAAUUGGAAAUGGUGUAAUCGAAAACAUUUUACUUGGUUUAUGAAGAUUUACGUUUUUCACAAAGUUGUGCUCUUAGAUGGUCAUUUGGUUUAAAUACUGUUUUGUUUGUGCUUUCAUGAAACACCUUUCAAAACAACUCAAUGGGUAAUAAUAGAAUCUGAUUUUAAUCUGCCACAAGAUUUUAAUGAACUUGAAACAAACUGCUUGUUGCUCGAAAAUUCAGGAUGAGUGAUACACAUAUACUUCUGAAUUAUUUUGUGUUGAUUGAAAUGGUUUCUUAAGCUUUUUAAUACUAUAAAUACAUCUUGCUAUAGAAUAUUCAUCUGAAUAUUUAAAUUAAUGUCUCCUAUUGUCUUACUAUUAGAGGAAGAAGUGUUGGAUUUAUGGGUUAGGGUCCUUGGAGUAUUCACAAUUUUUUAAAUUUGAAAUUAUGUGUGUAAUCCAUUUUAUAUAACUUUGAAGUAGGAUUAAUAUCUUGUAUCGUCUUUAUUUUGUACAAUUGGGGAUUUAGAAUAAAUGAAUUGCACCCUGCCAUAGAUUACUUACGUUUGAUUUUUAAAUGCCAGGUUUUCAUUUAUUACUAAUCAACUGAUACCAGUUUUGGUAACUAUUACAAAGGUGGUAGGCAUUAUUUUGGUAGACAAAAUGAGUUCUUGAUUCUGUUUUCCCAUUUUACAUGAGAAGAAUAAAUAGUUCAGGUUAAAUUGUUUUGUGUUAAUCAUACUGUUUGUGAUUCAUGUCAAAUACUGCAGCAUACACAUCCAUGGUUAAUACACGAGCACCAUUUGUUAUUGACUGAUGUGAGGUGGUUGGUCUUUGUUAAAUUCAAAAAUGGAAUUUUGGAUAUUGUUCUUGCUACGAAAUUUAUCUUUGUGUGUAGAGUAUGGAAUUGAAACAGUUUGGAUUAUGGAUUUUACCUAGAUUGGACAUUGUUGAUUUUGUUUGGUGUAAAUCUAAAGUGGAUUUCUUCAGUGAGGGAGAGACAUGGUUCUGGCAGAUUAUGUUGAAUAAGGAAAGUUGAUUGGAUUUUUUUGGGUGUGUGAAUAUGCUUGUCUGAAUGGAGUGCUUGGUAGGAUAUUGUUUCUGGAAUUAGUAAUUUGUUUCUGUGGAUCUCAUGGUUUUGAUAUUUAGGAGAAUUUGCUUUGUGACAUUACUUUGAUAAUUUGCAAUCACGUAUGUCCUAUUGUUAAUAACAUUGUUGAAAUGGGUGUAUACUUACUUGAUUUGAAAUAUAAGGGAAGUGUUGGGAUAUGUGUUUUCUGUUGGAUUUGGACGUGGAGUUUCUUGGGUUACUGAUUUAAAGGUGAUCGUGUUUGGACCAUACUCUUGAAUUUUUGCCUGAAUCAGUAUGGGAAGUAAAUAUAUUGUGAUUAUGAGAAGUUUCUUUGGGGGGAGGAGUGUAAUAUUUUCAAGGUUAUAUAAUGGGUUAAAGAAUUUUGUGAAAGAACAAAGAAAAAUGGAUAUUCUUGAAUAAAAAUUGGUUGCAUUAACUUUUGCUCCAGUGCAACUUGAACACUAGGGAGGCGCUCUUGAGUUGUAAAAGUUACCCCUUUCUUCCAGUGGAGAUGGAAAAUUCCCCCUUAAAUUUUGUCUUUAGAUUAUUUUUAGGCAUCAUAAAGAAGGAAAAACUUGAAUUUAUAUUAUGAAAUUAAGGUUUUACUUUUAUUUAGCAAUCAUUUCACCCAUUGGGGGAUUAAUUUUUAAAAAGAUUAGUACUUAGCUGAGCUUUAGAUUCUCUAAGAAUUAUCCCUUUUUCAAAAUGGCUUGAUAAAACACCACUUCCUGUCCAGGGAGGAAGUUAUUUUAGCUCAAGGACUGAAAUAUUUAGCAGAUCUUUAGACAAAAGGAACAAAUUACAUUUCUCUCUGGCUUAAAAAGGGUGCUUGAGCCAGAGGGGGUUAAGAAGCCCUCCCCCCUCCCCCUGUUGGGGUGGUCUGGAGGGGCAGGGAGGUGUGGGGGUGGGGGUCCUUAGGCUCCCUGGGAUGGAGGAUCUGUCUCUCUCUCUCUCUCUCCUUUUUUUUUUUUUGGUGGAGAUGAAGGGGUGGGUCUAUGGUACAUCACCUGAGUUGUGGGGUAAAUGUAGAGAGUGUCAAUCAAAGGCAGAGCUCUCAGAGCUGGGAAGGAGGCUCUAGAUGGCGGCUGUGCCUUAGAGAGAGCGCGCUCUGCUCCCUGCCUUUGCCUCACUUUACGCAACUUUCCCUAACUUUCGGGCAGCCUCAGGGGGCCCCCGUAGCCCCCUGCCUUUCCUAGGGACUUACUGGGGUCGAUUCGAACCUUUUUUUGGGAGAAAAGCAGCUUUUAGGAGCUUUCUUUUCGUGCCUUGUUGGAAAGAAGCAGCCGUACUGAGAGCCCAGGUCGUUGUUUUUUCCAGCUUAGAAGCCAUGGCGCACCUCCAUUUUUGUGCGCUCUCCUAAUGAGGUUUUUUUUCUUUCGGACCUGUUUUAGUAUUAAUUAUUGCUUUAUUUUUUUGACCAGUUAACAUAUUUGAGGGUUAUUUUAUUUAUUUUUCGUUUUUUAACGGAGGAUUUUGCCUUUAUUUUUAAUUAUUUGGGAUCUGAUAUUUUUCUACUAGUAGAUAGGACUCUUGGUUUGGACAUACUACAUGGAUCAGUAAAUACCUGGGCACAGGACUUCAAAGCAAACACAGAUUCCCCCUCCCCCUUAAUAUUUAAGAAUUAAAAGAUGAUGAGAAAUAAGGACAAAAGCCAAGAGGAGGACAGUUCGCUACACAGCAAUGCAUCGAGGUAUGAGCUAUCAACUUUCUUCCUUUUUGUCUUUUUUUUUGGGGGAGAAACCUCAGCUUACAAUUGUUUACCUUGACAGACAUGGAUUGCUGUCUGUUUUAUUGUGUUUUUCUAAUUUGGAUUCGUUUUUUAAAGCAUGACCUUGAGAUUGCUAAUAUGCCACACCCUAAUUUUUUGGUAGCAAUUUAUGAAAGUUGAGUUGUGACUUAAGGCCUCUUACAGCAGUCAAAAGGUAAGGUACCUUUAUUCAAAGGGGCCUUUACUGUAAUGUACAGUUUUUCUGUCAGUAAAUUUCAGUUUUUAGGUUUUUGUACUGCAGAAAAAUGACCUUGUCGGUUUAGCCAUUGCUGCAUUGCACCAUUUUACAUACAAGGCAAAUUUUUUCUUUGAAGAAUCCAGGAUAUCUAAACUUGUAACUGAGGGCCAUAGAGAAGCCUUGUAGUAGUAAAUUAUAGUAAAUAGACAUAUCAGAAAGUUAUAUGAAUGAAAAAAUGUACAUUUAAAAACAAAAUCACUUAAAGGACCCUUUGACUGAUGCCUCUCAGUUUAUAUUUUUAUGUGACUUUAUAUUUCUUUUGAUACACUUGACAUUUUAGGAAAUUUUGAUGUGAUUUAUCAAAACCUUUACUUGAUGGUUAGAGUUCCUGCAUUUAUGAAAUCAAAUCUGUAAUAACAGAAAUCCUGGAAUACUCUUAAUAUAUACUUCUAUUUUGUGUUUGUUACUGUGAUUAAUAUUUGCAGUUGUAUAUUUUACAUUUAAAUUAUUUUAAGGUUUGCAUUUGUAUGCUUAAGACAUUGAUUUCCUGUUGGUAGAUGUAUUUUAUCCUCACAAUUUAGAUGUAGCUGCUUUAAAUUUAUUGAUGUAUUUCGACAGAGUCGUCUGGAAUGCUUUAUCUUCUGAAGCUUAAAAAUGUACUGUUUGUGCAAAUCAUGAUCUGUUUCACAUUCCUUGGAGUACCUUGUUAGUGAUGAAGUAAUAAAGCCUCUAAGAUGUUUUUGUUGUAUGACCUCUG
RNAcentral lists this long non-coding RNA (5260 nucleotides) under Homo sapiens (human). RNAcentral describes it as "HSALNT0383144". Lineage: Eukaryota; Metazoa; Chordata; Mammalia; Primates; Hominidae. The record is from RNAcentral.